RNAcentral lists this non-coding RNA (49 nucleotides) under Spinacia oleracea (spinach). Its description in RNAcentral is "Eukaryotic small subunit ribosomal RNA". It matches the Rfam family "Eukaryotic small subunit ribosomal RNA", at positions 1 to 49 of the family's 1831-position model. RNAcentral also lists the same sequence under 134 other names. The record is from Rfam by way of RNAcentral. Lineage: Eukaryota; Viridiplantae; Streptophyta; Magnoliopsida; Caryophyllales; Amaranthaceae.
UACCUGGUUGAUCCUGCCAGUAGUCAUAUGCUUGUCUCAAAGAUUAAGC